AAUGGAGACAACAAAGUACUGACCUCAAGGAAUUGCUGAAAAGUAAAUGAAAUAAUAUACCACUGUCUAUGACCACCACAUAUGCCUGUCUCCAAUAUUACGCUUUCAGAUAAGAAGGCCUGUAUCUAUCUAUAUCAUGCUAUAAAUUCACCAAGCCUGAUGCCAGCACAAAUAAUCACAUUACUCGUUGCUAUGCGAUGUUUGUAUCCUACUAUUGAAUAACUAAAAAAAUAAAACCAGCUGCCAUAUUUUAG
This 254-nucleotide long non-coding RNA is filed under the name Homo sapiens (human). RNAcentral's name for it is "LHRI_LNC1561.1". The record is from RNAcentral. Lineage: Eukaryota; Metazoa; Chordata; Mammalia; Primates; Hominidae.